UACGUAGGGUGCAAGCGUUAAUCGGAAUUACUGGGCGUAAAGCGUGCGCAGGCGGUUGUGUAAGACAGAUGUGAAAUCCCCGGGCUCAACCUGGGAACUGCAUCUGUGACUGCAUCGCUGGAGUGCGGCAGAGGAGACUGGAAUUCCUGGUGUAGCAGUGAAAUGCGUAGAUAUCAGGAGGAACACCGAUGGCGAAGGCAGGUCUCUGGGCUGACACUGACGCUCAUGCACGAAAGCGUGGGGAGCAAACAGG
This 253-nucleotide ribosomal RNA is filed under the name uncultured bacterium. RNAcentral's name for it is "partial 16S ribosomal RNA". It matches the Rfam family "Bacterial small subunit ribosomal RNA", at positions 524 to 776 of the family's 1533-position model. The record is from RNAcentral.